GGCCUUUGUCUUUUUGAAAGGGAAAACUCAUUACAUCUUUAAUGUGACAUUUGAUAUUUGAAAGCAUCACUCAAAUUAAGUUGUAGACAGCAAAAUAUAAUGGCCUCUUGCCUAGAGGCUGCUAGGGGGGAAGAGUUACUGGUAUCCAAUUGUAUGCUCCUUCACAUGGAGACACUUUCAUGGAGGAGGGAACUGAUAUGCUCCUCGAGAAUCAGAAGGCGAUGGUUUUCAUCAUAACUGUACAUCAAAGGAACCAUCCUUGCAACAUUAAGACAGGCCUUGGUGAAAGUGAGUGAAAAUGGAUUUUGAAAAAGGCAUUUCUUGUUGAGUUGUUUCCAGGUCUCUGAAAUCAUCUGGUGGACAUGUUUUCUCGCACUUUCCACUGAACAUCCUUGGUGUUCCUUCAAGUAACAUUCCACGUAUGAUCCAUCAUAGCCAUCCUGAUUCUCAUCCUUGGCACUUCCCAAGUCAUCCCAGAGCCGAAGAAUUCUGGCAGUAGAAUUUAUUAUGCCUGGAUUGGCAUCGAUCAAUUCCACAUUUUCCUUGGUUAUACCUUCACCCAACAGAAAGAAAAGGUGAACAAGAACAGCAUGUACACCUGAACUCAAAUUCCCAUUCUUCAAGUACUCUUCUGAAUUUGGCAAAUCACCUGAAGCAAACCAUUUUGCUUCUUCUAGAAAUGCAUUGCACAAACUUGCCCACGUUUUUCGUAGAGAAAGUAGAGGAUUCCAGCCAUGCCGUUUAUAGACCUUGAAGCUAAUUUCAUUGGUGACGUUGUCAAGAGCAUUGAAACAUAUCCUCAUGUAGUCUGGUAGCUGUUCAGUGGCAGCAAUGUCCCAUCUAUCGACAACUUGGGUGAAGAGAGUGAGGUCAUCCAGCGUCCCAUUAACAUCAAAAAUAUCAUCUAUCAUGUAAACAAAAGAUAUGGGUUUUACGAGAUCUAUCCUUUGCUCUGACAAGCUUGGAUCUGUGAGGGCUGUCAUCGACCAUGUCCACCAUUUAAGUGGUUGGUCUCUUGCAAACUUCAACUCCUUGUUCAGGCCCAAUUCUUUCCACCACUCUGAAAUUCGAAGAAUUUCUUGUUGGUGUUGAGAUUGAACCAUCGUAAAAUCGAAUUUUGCAAGUUCUUGUAAUUCAUUCAUCCACCCAUUAGCCCCUUGCAAAUUUGUAAUGAAGUGUUUGGCGAAGAACAUUGGGUGACUUUUAUAGUGGGGAUGCUUCAACGUAUGCUCUACUGCUCUGGCUUCAGGAUAGUCAAGACUUGUCAUGUAUGAAUGCAAAAGCUGGUAACUAUAGUCUCCAGCUUCAUCAAGUAUAUCUUCUCCUUCUAUACGAAGCUGUGAAACUUCGUAUAAAGCCAUUAAUCCCUUGAUUUCAUGAGUUAGUUCUUUCUUAAAUUUCCCAUCCUCGGUCUUAAACGUGUCGAACACUCCUGCAGGAACAUAGUAACCCUCUUGUCUCAAGAGUCGAAAGCGAAGGGCAACCUCAUGGAGAUCAGUGUCAUUAUGAGUCUUAGGCAUCAUCAUAUAGUGCCUUUGUAAAGUUGCGCCAAUUUCCUCCUGGAAAAGAUGCUCAACCCCAAGACGUUGGAUAGCAUCAACCAUAGCCAGACUUUGAAAUUCAGCAUCUUUUCCUUGUUUUUUCAGCAUAUUCUUGAAUGCCUUGAUUUUUUU
This 1673-nucleotide unclassified non-coding RNA is filed under the name Hevea brasiliensis (rubber tree). Lineage: Eukaryota; Viridiplantae; Streptophyta; Magnoliopsida; Malpighiales; Euphorbiaceae. The record is from RNAcentral.